UGAUCUAGCCAUGGGCAGGUUGAAGGUUGGGUAACACUAACUGGAGGACCGAACCGACUAAUGUUGAAAAAUUAGCGGAUGACUUGUGGCUGGGGGGGAAAGGCCAAUCAAACCGGGAGAUAGCUGGUUCUCCCCGAAAGCUAUUUAGGUAGCGCCUCGUGAAUUCAUCUCCGGGGGUAGAGCACUGUUUCGGCAAGGGGGUCAUCCCGACUUACCAACCCGAUGCAAACUGCGAAUACCGGAGAAUGUUAUCACGGGAGACACACGGCGGGUGCUAACGUCCGUCGUGAAGAGGGAAACAACCCAGACCGCCAGCUAAGGUCCCAAAGUCAUGGUUAAGUGGGAAACGAUGUGGGAAGGCCCAGACAGCCAGGAUGUUGGCUUAGAAGCAGCCAUCAUUUAAAGAAAGCGUAAUAGCUCACUGGUCGAGUCGGCCUGCGCGGAAGAUGUAACGGGGCUAAACCAUGCACCGAAGCUGCGGCAGCGACGCUUAUGCGUUGUUGGGUAGGGGAGCGUUCUGUAAGCCUGCGAAGGUGUGCUGUGA
Molecule: ribosomal RNA, 544 nt
Filed under: Escherichia coli
Lineage: Bacteria; Pseudomonadati; Pseudomonadota; Gammaproteobacteria; Enterobacterales; Enterobacteriaceae
Description: bacterial LSU rRNA
Rfam family: Bacterial large subunit ribosomal RNA
Source: RNAcentral